GAUUUAUCUCAAAAUUAGAGAUAGAAAUGAAACAGAAUUGGCCAUGAUUGGAUACUUGUUGAAGGUGGGCACAUGGAGUUUUGAUUCACCAUCAGUUUUUUUUUUUUUUUUGGUUACUGUUGUCACUAUUGUUAAUAUUGUUACUAUUAAUAUUGUUACAACUGUUUCAAACUUCUGUUUAUGUUUGAAAAUUUUUUAUAGUGAAAUGUAAAAAAUAAAAAAAGAGGCUCACUCUGGCUGCAGCUGUGUGAAGAUUGUAUUGUGGAAGAGUAAAGAGCAGGAGAGCCAGUCAGGUCCAGAAGAGUCCACCUGAGACUGGCGUUUCUUCUCAGUUUAAGACAAGAAAGAGGAGUUCCGGAAUUCUGGUCUCUAGGAGAGGUGCCCUAACAAGGAUCUACUCCUGUACUCCUGGUCCCAUCAGCUGUGUGUUUAGAACACACUCAGUGUCCCAUUGAAUAAAUGAAGCAAAAUGAUCCUUGAACUGAAAAGGACUGAGCAAGAAUUGAUAAAAGAGAA
Long non-coding RNA from Orcinus orca (killer whale), 516 nucleotides. RefSeq lists it as uncharacterized. The transcript has 3 exons. The record is from RefSeq and is a predicted model, not a curated record. NCBI's taxonomy places the organism in Eukaryota, Metazoa, Chordata, Mammalia, Artiodactyla, Delphinidae.